AACGAACGCUGGCGGCAUGCCUAACACAUGCAAGUCGAACGAGACCUUCGGGUCUAGUGGCGCACGGGUGCGUAACGCGUGGGAACCUGCCCUUAGGUUCGGAAUAACUCCCCGAAAGGGGAGCUAAUACCGGAUAAUGUCUUCGGACCAAAGAUUUAUCGCCUUUGGAUGGGCCCGCGUUGGAUUAGCUAGUUGGUAGGGUAAAAGCCUACCAAGGCGACGAUCCAUAGCUGGUCUGAGAGGAUGAUCAGCUACACUGGGACUGAGACACGGCCCAGACUCCUACGGGAGGCAGCAGUGGGGAAUAUUGGACAAUGGGCGAAAGCCUGAUCCAGCAAUGCCGCGUGAGUGAUGAAGGCCUUAGGGUUGUAAAGCUCUUUUACCCGGGAUGAUAAUGACAGUACCGGGAGAAUAAGCUCCGGCUAACUCCGUG
This 433-nucleotide ribosomal RNA is filed under the name uncultured bacterium. RNAcentral's name for it is "partial 16S ribosomal RNA". It matches the Rfam family "Bacterial small subunit ribosomal RNA", at positions 29 to 507 of the family's 1533-position model. The record is from RNAcentral.